GACGAACGCUGGCGGCGUGCCUAAUACAUGCAAGUCGAACGCACUCUCGUUUAGAUUGAAGGAGCUUGCUCCUGAUUGAUAAACAUUUGAGUGAGUGGCGGACGGGUGAGUAACACGUGGGUAACCUGCCCUAAAGUGGGGGAUAACAUUUGGAAACAGAUGCUAAUACCGCAUAAAACCUAACACCGCAUGGUGUAGGGUUGAAAGAUGGUUUCGGCUAUCACUUUAGGAUGGACCCGCGGUGCAUUAGUUAGUUGGUGAGGUAAAGGCUCACCAAGACCGUGAUGCAUAGCCGACCUGAGAGGGUAAUCGGCCACACUGGGACUGAGACACGGCCCAGACUCCUACGGGAGGCAGCAGUAGGGAAUCUUCCACAAUGGACGGAAGUCUGAUGGAGCAACGCCGCGUGAGUGAAGAAGGUUUUCGGAUCGUAAAACUCUGUUGUUGGAGAAGAAUGUAUCUGAUAGUAACUGAUCAGGUAGUGACGGUAUCCAACCAGAAAGCCACGG
This 509-nucleotide ribosomal RNA is filed under the name uncultured bacterium. RNAcentral describes it as "bacterial SSU rRNA". It matches the Rfam family "Bacterial small subunit ribosomal RNA", at positions 28 to 496 of the family's 1533-position model. The record is from RNAcentral.